CAGUAGCCGCGGUAAUACGAAGGGCGCAAGCGUUAAUCGGAAUUACUGGGCGUAAAGCGUGCGUAGGCGGUGAGUUAAGUCUGCUGUGAAAUCCCCGGGCUCAACCUGGGAAUGGCAGUGGAUACUGGCUCGCUAGAGUGUGUCAGAGGAUGGUGGAAUUCCCGGUGUAGCGGUGUGAUGCGUAGAGAUCGGGAGGAACAUCAGUGGCGAAGGCGGCCAUCUGGGACAACACUGACGCUGAGGCACGAAAGCGUGGGGAGCAAACAGGAUUAGAUACCCUGUAGUCCCUGUCUCUUAUACA
RNAcentral lists this ribosomal RNA (301 nucleotides) under uncultured bacterium. RNAcentral describes it as "partial 16S ribosomal RNA". It matches the Rfam family "Bacterial small subunit ribosomal RNA", at positions 509 to 808 of the family's 1533-position model. The record is from RNAcentral.